This 425-nucleotide ribosomal RNA is filed under the name uncultured bacterium. Its description in RNAcentral is "bacterial SSU rRNA". It matches the Rfam family "Bacterial small subunit ribosomal RNA", at positions 356 to 773 of the family's 1533-position model. The record is from RNAcentral.
GGGGAAUAUUGGACAAUGGGCGAAAGCCUGAUCCAGCCAUGCCGCGUGUGUGAAGAAGGUCUUCGGAUUGUAAAGCACUUUAAGUUGGGAGGAAGGGCAUUAACCUAAUACGUUAGUGUUUUGACGUUACCGACAGAAUAAGCACCGGCUAACUUCGUGCCAGCAGCCGCGGUAAUACGAAGGGUGCAAGCGUUAAUCGGAAUUACUGGGCGUAAAGCGCGCGUAGGUGGUUUGUUAAGUUGAAUGUGAAAGCCCCGGGCUCAACCUGGGAACUGCAUCCAAAACUGGCAAGCUAGAGUAUGGCAGAGGGUGGUGGAAUUUCCUGUGUAGCGGUGAAAUGCGUAGAUAUAGGAAGGAACACCAGUGGCGAAGGCGACCACCUGGGCUAAUACUGACACUGAGGUGCGAAAGUGUGGGGAGCAAAC